CACGGGGGGAGCAAGCGUUGUUCGGAAUCACUGGGCGUAAAGGGCGUGUAGGCGGUCAGGUUAGUGGGACGUGAAAUGCCCCGGCUCACCCGGGGACCUGCGUCCCAAACUGCCUGGCUUGAGUAUGGGAGAGGAUGUGGGAAUUCCUGGUGUAGCGGUGAAAUGCGUAGAUAUCAGGAGGAACACCGGUGGCGAAGGCGCACAUCUGGCCCAAUACUGACGCUGAGGCGCGAAAGCGUGGGGAGCAAACAGG
RNAcentral lists this ribosomal RNA (253 nucleotides) under uncultured bacterium. RNAcentral describes it as "partial 16S ribosomal RNA". It matches the Rfam family "Bacterial small subunit ribosomal RNA", at positions 524 to 776 of the family's 1533-position model. The record is from RNAcentral.